GACGUAGGGCGCAAGCGUUGUCCGGAAUUAUUGGGCGUAAAGAGCUCGUAGGCGGUGUGUCGCGUCGGCCGUGAAAACCUGCAGCUUAACUGUGGGCGUGCGGUCGAUACGGGCAUCACUGGAGUUCGGCAGGGGAGACUGGAAUUCCUGGUGUAGCGGUGAAAUGCGCAGAUAUCAGGAGGAACACCGGUGGCGAAGGCGGGUCUCUGGGCCGAUACUGACGCUGAGGAGCGAAAGCGUGGGGAGCGAACAGG
RNAcentral lists this ribosomal RNA (254 nucleotides) under uncultured bacterium. RNAcentral's name for it is "partial 16S ribosomal RNA". It matches the Rfam family "Bacterial small subunit ribosomal RNA", at positions 524 to 776 of the family's 1533-position model. The record is from RNAcentral.